GGGGGUGUAGCUCAGUGGUAGAGCACUUGCCUAACAUGCACAAGGUUCUGGGUUCCAUUCCCCGUACCACCA
Molecule: transfer RNA, 72 nt
Filed under: Heterocephalus glaber (naked mole-rat)
Lineage: Eukaryota; Metazoa; Chordata; Mammalia; Rodentia; Bathyergidae
Rfam family: tRNA
About the family: Transfer RNA (tRNA) molecules are approximately 80 nucleotides in length. Their secondary structure includes four short double-helical elements and three loops (D, anti-codon, and T loops).
Source: Rfam by way of RNAcentral